This 200-nucleotide ribosomal RNA is filed under the name uncultured bacterium. RNAcentral's name for it is "partial 16S ribosomal RNA". It matches the Rfam family "Bacterial small subunit ribosomal RNA", at positions 1301 to 1500 of the family's 1533-position model. The record is from RNAcentral.
UAGUCUGCAACCCGACUACACGAAGCUGGAAUCGCUAGUAAUCGCGAAUCAGAAUGUCGCGGUGAAUACGUUCCCGGGUCUUGUACACACCGCCCGUCACACCAUGGGAGUCGGGAAUGCCCGAAGCCGGUGACCUAACCGAAAGGAAGGAGCCGUCGAAGGCAGGUCUGAUAACUGGGGUGAAGUCGUAACAAGGUAAC